UCCCUGGGGGUCUAGUGGUUAGGACUUGGCGCUUUCACUACCAUGGCCCGGGUUCAAUCCCUGAUAAGGGAA
Molecule: transfer RNA, 72 nt
Filed under: Bos taurus (domestic cattle)
Lineage: Eukaryota; Metazoa; Chordata; Mammalia; Artiodactyla; Bovidae
Also listed under: 4 other names
Rfam family: tRNA
About the family: Transfer RNA (tRNA) molecules are approximately 80 nucleotides in length. Their secondary structure includes four short double-helical elements and three loops (D, anti-codon, and T loops).
Source: Rfam by way of RNAcentral